RNAcentral lists this ribosomal RNA (407 nucleotides) under uncultured bacterium. Its description in RNAcentral is "partial 16S ribosomal RNA". It matches the Rfam family "Bacterial small subunit ribosomal RNA", at positions 30 to 526 of the family's 1533-position model. The record is from RNAcentral.
AUUGAACGCUGGCGGCAGGCCUAACACAUGCAAGUCGAGCGGAGCGGCCGACGGGUGAGUAAUGCCUAGGUAUCUGCCAGGCAGUGGGGGAUAACGUCCGACAACGGGCGAUAAUACCGCAUACUAUCAGAUGAGCCUAGGUCGGAUUAGCUAGGUGGUGGGGUAAAGGCCUACCAAGGCGACGAGCCGUAACUGGUGGGAGAGGAUGUUCAGUCACACUGGGACUGAGACACGGUCCAGACUCCUACGGGAGGCAGCAGUGGGGAAUAUUGGGCAAUGGGCGAAAGUCUGAGCCAGCCAUGCCGCGUGUGUGAAGAAGGUUUUCGGAUUGUAAAGCACUUUAAGUUGGGAGGCGGUACCAACAGAAUAAGCACCGGCUAACUUCGUGCCAGCCGCCGCGGUAAUAC